RNAcentral lists this ribosomal RNA (497 nucleotides) under uncultured bacterium. RNAcentral describes it as "partial 16S ribosomal RNA". It matches the Rfam family "Bacterial small subunit ribosomal RNA", at positions 28 to 507 of the family's 1533-position model. The record is from RNAcentral.
GAUGAACGCUGGCGGCGUGCCUAAUACAUGCAAGUCGAGCGAACAGAUGAGGAGCUUGCUCCUCUGACGUUAGCGGCGGACGGGUGAGUAACACGUGGAUAACCUACCUAUAAGACUGGGAUAACUUCGGGAAACCGGAGCUAAUACCGUAUAAUAUAUUGAACCGCAUGGUUCAAUAGUGAGAGACGGUUGUGCUGUCACUUAUAGAUGGAUCCGCGCCGCAUUAGCUAGUUGGUAAGGUAACGGCUUACCAAGGCGACGAUGCGUAGCCGACCUGAGCGGUGGAUCGGCCACACUGGAACUGAGACACGGUCCAGAGUCCUAAGGGAGGCAGCAGUAGGGAAUCUUCCGCAAUGGGCGAAAGCUUGACGGAGCAACGCCGCGUGAGUGAUGAAGGUCUUCGGAUCGUAAAACUCUGUUAUUAGGGAAGAACAAAUGUGUAAGUAACUAUGCACGUCUUGACGGUACCUAAUCAGAAAGCCACGGCUAACUACGUG